RNAcentral lists this ribosomal RNA (274 nucleotides) under uncultured bacterium. RNAcentral's name for it is "partial 16S ribosomal RNA". It matches the Rfam family "Bacterial small subunit ribosomal RNA", at positions 523 to 796 of the family's 1533-position model. The record is from RNAcentral.
AUACGGAGGGUGCAAGCGUUGUCCGGAUUUAUUGGGUUUAAAGGGUGCGUAGGUGGCGUGUUAAGUCAGUGGUGAAAGCCUGCAGCUCAACUGUAGAGGUGCCAUUGAUACUGACAUGCUUGAGUAUGGACGAGGUAGGCGGAAUUUGUGGUGUAGCGGUGAAAUGCAUAGAUACCACAAAGAACACCGAUAGCGAAGGCAGCUUACUGGACCAUAACUGACACUGAGGCACGAAAGUGUGGGUAGCGAACAGGAUUAGAAACCCCUGUAGUCC